AGAAAAAUUUCCAAUAUUUGAAUAUUUAAUUUUUUAUAUAAUAUUAAUGCUCUUAUUGCUAUUAUUUGUAUUAUUUCGUAGAAUGCCUACAUUGAAUAACAGAAAUAAUGGACAACUAUUACCAAUUUGACGAAGUUAAAAUCUAAUGAAUGAAAAUCUAAAAUUACUUUAAUAAAAAAAAAAAAUUAUAUAUUAUAAAAAUAUUUAUAUAAAAUUUUAUAUUUAGUGAUAAUAUAUUUAUAUUUUUGAUAUUUCUCUAUUCUGUUCCUUGUAACAUCCCGUAGCACCCCUAAAUAAUUAACAGUGUGUGGGGGGUGAGGGCGGAGCUGGCAGGGUUGGGUUGGGAAGUCAUCAGGGCCACCAGGAGCAGAAUUGAGAAAUACUUUAGUUCUCAUAAUUAUAGUAGUAAUAUUGUCCAUUGUCAGGCAGUUGUCCGGAGAGAGAUCUUGUUGUGUCUUGCCCACAACAAAACCUGGUAUCAUGUUGGUCUGGAGUAGGUGAAAUCAUCAUAAAAGUGGUGGAAGAAUGGUUUUGAAAGCUUUUGGUAGCUUUGAAAACAACUCAAAUCAUCUCCUGACUGCAUGUAUGCCACUUUUGGGUCAAGUAACAAUCAGAUCUCUCUUCGUUAAAUCUUUUGGUUCUCCGCUGGUUCAAGUGUUGAGGUUCAGUGGAGCACUACACAAGCAAUGCAAGUAAAAUUGUUCAUUGCAGCUGGCCACUCGGAGAUGGUGUCUUGCCAAGCACAACAGACCAUGAAACCCCUGGCCGUUAAGUUUGAUUGCUUGGAGACCCCUUGAAUGAAUUCACUGUCCCUCAGCUCAGAUCACUGUGUGGGGGUGGGGGGAUGGGAAAAAACAACAACAUGAUAAUCAGUUUUAAAAAGUUGCUGCCUUAAAUUUUUAAGUACAGUCAACUUAUGCUGUAUAAGUCAUUUCAAACUUAAAUUACAUGAAACUAACUUUAAAAAAAAUGAGUUAAAUCUUGCAUAAUAGACAGCAACAUAUUUCUGGUCCAGAUCCAGCCCACAUCUGGCCCGUGUGAAAUCCAUGCGGGCCAGAUGUGGGCCGGAUCUGGGCCGACACGUCUUGCUGUCUGGGGUGUAACUUGAUAAAACUCAUUUUGAGUUAGAAUGUAAAAACACGUUGUCAUGACUUCUUGUGUGUAACAAUGCUGAGUGACUUAAGAAAGAAAGAAAAAAAAAACCUGUUUACUCAUUAUUGAUUGAAUAAAUGAUGAACAUGA
Molecule: long non-coding RNA, 1242 nt
Organism: Onychostoma macrolepis
Lineage: Eukaryota; Metazoa; Chordata; Actinopteri; Cypriniformes; Cyprinidae
Exons: 4
Source: RefSeq, a predicted model, not a curated record